AACGCUAGCUACAGGCUUAACACAUACAAGUCGAGGGGCAGCAUGGUCUUAGCUUGCUAAGGCCGAUGGCGACCGGCGCACGGGUGAGUAACACGUAUCCAACCUGCCGUCUACUCUUGGACAGCCUUCUGAAAGGAAGAUUAAUACAAGAUGGCAUCAUGAGUCCGCAUGUUCACAUGAUUAAAGGUAUUCCGGUAGACGAUGGGGAUGCGUUCCGUUAGAUAGUAGGCGGGGUAACGGCCCACCUAGUCUUCGAUGGAUAGGGGUUCUGAGAGGAAGGUCCCCCACAUUGGAACUGAGACACGGUCCAAACUCCUACGGGAGGCAGCAGUGAGGAAUAUUGGUCAAUGGGCGAGAGCCUGAACCAGCCAAGUAGCGUGAAGGAUGACUGCCCUAUGGGUUGUAAACUUCUUUUAUAAAGGAAUAAAGUCGGGUAUGGAUACCCGUUUGCAUGUACUUUAUGAAUAAGGAUCGGCUAACUCCGUGCCAGCAGCCGCGGUAAUACGGAGGAUCCGAGCGUUAUCCGGAUUUAUUGGGUUUAAAGGGAGCGUAGAUGGAUGUUUAAGUCAGUUGUGAAAGUUUGCGGCUCAACCGUAAAAUUGCAGUUGAUACUGGAUAUCUUGAGUGCAGUCGAGGCAGGCGGAAUUCGUGGUGUAGCGGUGAAAUGCUUAGAUAUCACGAAGAACUCCGAUUG
This 694-nucleotide ribosomal RNA is filed under the name uncultured bacterium. RNAcentral describes it as "bacterial SSU rRNA". It matches the Rfam family "Bacterial small subunit ribosomal RNA", at positions 32 to 715 of the family's 1533-position model. The record is from RNAcentral.